UACGUAGGUGGCAAGCGUUGUCCGGAAUUAUUGGGCGUAAAGCGCGCGCAGGCGGCCUCCUAAGUCCGAUGUGAAAGCCCACGGCUCAACCGUGGAGGGUCAUUGGAAACUGGGGGACUUGAGUGCAGGAGAGAAGAGUGGAAUUCCACGUGUAGCGGUGAAAUGCGUAGAGAUCGGGAGGAACACCGGUGGCGAAGGCGGGUCUCUGGGCAUCUCCUGACGCUGAGGCGCGAAAGCGUGGGGAGCAAACGGG
Molecule: ribosomal RNA, 253 nt
Filed under: uncultured bacterium
Lineage: Bacteria
Description: partial 16S ribosomal RNA
Rfam family: Bacterial small subunit ribosomal RNA
Source: RNAcentral